RNAcentral lists this transfer RNA (65 nucleotides) under Hemisodorcus arrowi. RNAcentral describes it as "tRNA-Phe". The record is from RNAcentral. Lineage: Eukaryota; Metazoa; Arthropoda; Insecta; Coleoptera; Lucanidae.
ACUUAAAUAGCUCAAGGAUAGAGCAAGAUAUUGAAGAUAUCUCGGUGAUUUAAAGUCUUUAAGUA